AGAGUUUGAUUCUGGCUCAGAAUGAACGUUGGCGGCGUGGAUUAGGCAUGCAAGUCGAGCGAGAACCCGCAAGGGGGACAGCGGCGAACGGGGUAGGACAAUCUAGGUAACGUACCCUCGGGGCGAGGACAGCCACGGGAAACUGUGGGUAAUACUCGAUAAACUUCCCAAUCAUUAUCGGAGGGGAAGCAAUGGGUGUGAUUCCACCUGAGGAGCGGCUUAGACAGUAUCAGCUUGUUGGUGAGGUAACGGCUCACCAAGGCUACGACGCUUAGGGGGUGUGAGAGCAUGGCCCCCACCACUGGCACUGAGACACUGGCCAGACACCUACGGGUGGCUGCAGUCGAGAAUCUUCGGCAAUGGACGCAAGUCUGACCGAGCGACGCCGCGUGCGGGAUGAAGGUCUUCGGAUUGUAAACCGCUGUCAGAGGGGAUGAAGUGUACGGGGGUACUCCCCUGUACUUGACAGAGCCUCAGAGGAAGCACGGGCUAAGUUCGUGCCAGCCGCCGCGGUAA
RNAcentral lists this ribosomal RNA (516 nucleotides) under uncultured Planctomycetaceae bacterium. Its description in RNAcentral is "bacterial SSU rRNA". It matches the Rfam family "Bacterial small subunit ribosomal RNA", at positions 8 to 523 of the family's 1533-position model. The record is from RNAcentral. Lineage: Bacteria; Pseudomonadati; Planctomycetota; Planctomycetia; Planctomycetales; Planctomycetaceae.